RNAcentral lists this ribosomal RNA (253 nucleotides) under uncultured bacterium. RNAcentral's name for it is "partial 16S ribosomal RNA". It matches the Rfam family "Bacterial small subunit ribosomal RNA", at positions 524 to 776 of the family's 1533-position model. The record is from RNAcentral.
UACGGAGGGUGCGAGCGUUGUCCGGAAUCAUUGGGCGUAAAGGGCGCGUAGGUGGCUUCUCAAGCGUGCGGUGAAAGCCUGGGGCUCAACCCCGGGUCGGCCGUGCGAACUGGGGGGCUUGAGCACUGUAGAGGCAGGCGGAAUUCCGGGUGUAGCGGUGGAAUGCGUAGAGAUCCGGAAGAACACCGGUGGCGAAGGCGGUCUGCUGGGCAGUUGCUGACACUGAUGCGCGACAGCGUGGGGAGCAAACAGG